CCUACGGGUGGCAGCAGUGAGGAAUAUUGGUCAAUGGACGAGAGUCUGAACCAGCGAAGUAGCGUGAAGGAUGACUGCCCUAUGUGCGUUAAACUUCUUUUAUAUGGGAAUAAAACAGGGUAUGCAUACACUCUUGUAUGUACCAUAUGAUUACGGAUCGGCUAAUUCUGCGCCAGAAGCCGCGGUAAUACGGAGGAGCCGAGCGUUAUCCGGAUUUAUUGGGUUUAAAGGGAGCGUAGGUGGAUGGUCAAGUCAGUUGUGAAAGUUUGCGGCUUAACCGUGAAAUUGCAGUUGAAACUGGCAGUCUUGAGUACAGUAGAGGUGAGCGGAAUUCGUGGUGUAGCGGUGAAAUGCUUAGAUAUCACGAAGAACUCCGAUUGCGAAGGCAGCUCACUGGACUGCAACUGACACUGAUGCUCGAAAGUGUGGGUAUCAAACAGGAUUAGAUACCCUUGUAGUC
Molecule: ribosomal RNA, 460 nt
Filed under: uncultured bacterium
Lineage: Bacteria
Description: partial 16S ribosomal RNA
Rfam family: Bacterial small subunit ribosomal RNA
Source: RNAcentral